Molecule: ribosomal RNA, 253 nt
Filed under: uncultured bacterium
Lineage: Bacteria
Description: partial 16S ribosomal RNA
Rfam family: Bacterial small subunit ribosomal RNA
Source: RNAcentral
UACGUAGGCAGCAAGCGUUGUUCGGAGUUACUGGGCGUAAAGGGUGCGUAGGCGGCUUUUUAAGUUUGGUGUGAAAUCUCCUGGCUUAACCGGGAGGGUGCGCCGAAUACUGAGAAGCUAGAGUACGGGAGAGGAAAGUGGAAUUCCUGGUGUAGCGGUGAAAUGCGUAGAUAUCAGGAGGAACACCUGUGGUGUAGACGGCUUUCUGGACCGUAACUGACGCUGAGGCACGAAAGCGUGGGUAGCAAACAGG